AUUGAACGCUGGCGGCAGGCUUAACACAUGCAAGUCGAGCGGGGGAGGGUAGCUUGCUACCGGACCUAGCGGCGGACGGGUGAGUAAUGCUUAGGAAUCUGCCUAUUAGUGGGGGACAACAUCUCGAAAGGGAUGCUAAUACCGCAUACGUCCUACGGGAGAAAGCAGGGGAUCUUCGGACCUUGCGCUAAUAGAUGAGCCUAAGUCGGAUUAGCUAGUUGGUGGGGUAAAGGCCUACCAAGGCGACGAUCUGUAGCGGGUCUGAGAGGAUGAUCCGCCAAACUGGGACUGAGACACGGCCCCGACUCCUACGGGAGGCAGCAGGGGGGAAUGUUGGACAAUGGGGGGAACCCUGAUCUAGCCAUGCCGCGUGUGUGAAGAAGGCCUUAUGGUUGUAAAGCACUUUAAGCGAGGAGGAGGCUACUUUAGUUAAUACCUAGAGAUAGUGGACGUUACUCGCAGAAUAAGCACCGGCUAACUCUGUGCCAGCAGCCGCGGUAA
This 501-nucleotide ribosomal RNA is filed under the name uncultured bacterium. RNAcentral describes it as "partial 16S ribosomal RNA". It matches the Rfam family "Bacterial small subunit ribosomal RNA", at positions 30 to 523 of the family's 1533-position model. The record is from RNAcentral.